UACGUAGGUGGCAAGCGUUGUCCGGAAUUACUGGGUGUAAAGCGCGCGUAGGCGGUAGGCCAAGUCUGCUGUGAAAUCGCCCGGCUCAACUGGGCGCGGUCGGUGGAAACUGGUCAACUGGAGGACGGUAGAGGCGAGUGGAAUUCCCGGUGUAGUGGUGAAAUGCGUAGAGAUCGGGAGGAACACCAGUGGCGAAGGCGGCUCGCUGGGCCGGAGCUGACGCUGAGGCGCGAAGGCGUGGGGAGCGAACGGG
RNAcentral lists this ribosomal RNA (253 nucleotides) under uncultured bacterium. RNAcentral describes it as "partial 16S ribosomal RNA". It matches the Rfam family "Bacterial small subunit ribosomal RNA", at positions 524 to 776 of the family's 1533-position model. The record is from RNAcentral.